Molecule: long non-coding RNA, 395 nt
Filed under: Ananas comosus (pineapple)
Lineage: Eukaryota; Viridiplantae; Streptophyta; Magnoliopsida; Poales; Bromeliaceae
Description: long non-coding RNA (ACOM_LNC019670)
Source: RNAcentral
UUUAAUUUUUUAAAAUUUAUUUUAUCAAUAAAAAAAUUUUAUCCAGUUAUUUGUUAAAAAAAGGAAAAACUUUAAAUACCACCCGUGUGGUCUCGCAUUUUCUCACUUUAAUACUCUGUGGUUUAAAGUGUAUCACUCUCAUACCCUGUGGUUUUAUUUUUCUUUUUUCGUUAUCCCCUCCUUUAAUUUUUUUUUUAUUAAAUCACUGACAAAGUUAAAACUAAAAGGUACUAAAGUGAAUAUUCGAUAAACUAAGGUGAAGUAUUUGAUGUUUUUUAUAUAUGAUUCAAUGAAAAGUUAACAGAAUGACUGAUAAAAAGAGAAAAAUAAAAUCGUAAAAUACUAAAUUAAUACAUUUUAAAGUAUAGAGUACUAAAGUGAAAAAAAAUAAAAAA